GAUGAACGCUGGCGGCGUGCCUAAUACAUGCAAGUCGAGCGAACGGACGAGAAGCUUGCUUCUCUGAUGUUAGCGGCGGACGGGUGAGUAACACGUGGAUAACCUACCUAUAAGACUGGGAUAACUUCGGGAAACCGGAGCUAAUACCGGAUGAUAUUUUGAACCGCAUGGUUCAAAAGUGAAAGACGGUCUUGCUGUCACUUAUAGAUGGAUCCGCGCUGCAUUAGCUAGUUGGUAAGGUAACGGCUUACCAAGGCAACGAUGCAUAGCCGACCUGAGAGGAUGAUCGGCCACACUGGAACUGAGACACGGUCCAGACUCCUACGGGAGGCAGCAGUAGGGAAUCUUCCGCAAUGGGCGAAAGCCUGACGGAGCAACGCCGCGUGAGUGAUGAAGGUCUUCGGAUCGUAAAACUCUGUUAUUAGGGAAGAACAGAUGUGUAAGUAACUGUGCACAUCUUGACGGUACCUAAUCAGAAAGCCACGGCUAACUACGUG
RNAcentral lists this ribosomal RNA (497 nucleotides) under uncultured bacterium. RNAcentral's name for it is "partial 16S ribosomal RNA". It matches the Rfam family "Bacterial small subunit ribosomal RNA", at positions 28 to 507 of the family's 1533-position model. The record is from RNAcentral.